GUUCCACUCUGAGGACACAGCGCAAAGUUGGCAGUCUGCAUCCCAGAAGAGGGCUUUCACCACAUCCAGAGCCUUCCAGCCUUCAGAACUACUCAGAAUGUUAGAUCCAAUUUACACAGCUCAUCUGGCUAGACGAUCCAUCAGUAUCCACUGAUCCUGAAAAGAUGACUCAGCACAGCUUCAUACCUCUUCUUACUUAGAAUCACCCCCUGUGCCUCCUCUCCCUCUCCCUGUCUAAGAAGAGUCAGAAAGAGCAGAGUACAAGAAUUAUAGAGCAACAUGAGUGAGCUCCUGCAAGUCUUUGAAGCCUACAAAGCAAUUUUUUUUUUUUUUGGCCAGCUUCUUUUGGCAGAGAAAAGUAGAGGACGGAAGGCCAUGGAAAUGUGCCAGAUGACCACCUAAGGGGCAUUGAUUUACUACUUGGAGAGUGACCAAUGAACACUGUGCGGCCUGAGAGCAUGGAUUUUGGAAUGAGACACACCUGGAUUUCAUUCCUGCCUCCACUAUUAUUCUUUACGUAAUUUAAGAUUACUGACUCUUUGGUUUAACAUCUGUAAAGUAAGAACAAACACCAAGCAUACUUAACUAGCUGUGAGAGCUAAAGAAGUAACAUAAUGUUUAUGAUGAUAAUAAAAAGCAUACA
This is a long non-coding RNA of Manis javanica (Malayan pangolin), 643 nucleotides long. RefSeq lists it as uncharacterized. The record is from RefSeq and is a predicted model, not a curated record. NCBI's taxonomy places the organism in Eukaryota, Metazoa, Chordata, Mammalia, Pholidota, Manidae.